CCUGAGCGUAUCUGUACAAGCAGUCA
RNAcentral lists this non-coding RNA (26 nucleotides) under Homo sapiens (human). Lineage: Eukaryota; Metazoa; Chordata; Mammalia; Primates; Hominidae. The record is from RNAcentral.